RNAcentral lists this transfer RNA (68 nucleotides) under Marmota monax (woodchuck). RNAcentral's name for it is "tRNA.Ala". Lineage: Eukaryota; Metazoa; Chordata; Mammalia; Rodentia; Sciuridae. The record is from RNAcentral.
GGUUUGUAGCUCAAUGGUACAGUGCUUGCCUAGCACGCGUGAGGCACUGGGUUUGAGCCUCAGAACCA